GACUGGCUCAUCAGCCGUUUCAGAUUUCCAAGGGCUAUACUCUUGGAGCUCUGCGCUGAGUUGGGUCCGAAUUUGGAAAGAGAGACAGUGAGGAGCCACGCAUUACCCGUUCCUUUACAGGUGCUUACUACACUUGGUUUCCUAGCAACCGGUUCUUUCCAAAGAGAACUGGCAGACCGCUCAGGAAUAAGCCAGUCGUGUUUGAGCCGUGCAAUGCCACCUGUAUGGGACGGCAUCAUCCGCUUGUCUACCAGGUAUAUAACGUUCCCAUACGAUGCAGGUGACCAGCCAAACAUCAAAGCGCAAUUUGCAGCGAUAGCCGGUUUUCCUAAUGUAAUCGGAGCGAUCGACUGCACACAUAUUGCUAUAAAGGCGCCAUCUGAAGACGAAUUUGCAUAUGUGAAUCGGAAACAUUUCCAUUCAAUAAAUGUGCAGAUUAUAUGUGAUGCACAAAUGUGCCUAACAAAUAUUGUGGCAAGGUGGCCUGGGUCAACCCAUGAUUCAUAUAUCCUUACAAACAGCAUGGUUGGGAUGAGACUCCAAGCUGGCAGGGUGCGCGAUGGGUGGCUACUUGGAGACAGUGGUUAUCCACUAAAGACGUGGCUGUUAACCCCCCUCACCAACCCACAAACUGACCGAGAGCGCAGAUACAAUGAUGCCCAUUCCCGCACUCGGUCAGUUGUGGAGCGAGCGAUUGGGCAGCUGAAAUGUCGGUGGCGCUGCCUUGACAGGACCGGGGGGAUGCUGUUAUACCGCCCUGACAAGGUUUGCCGCAUCAUACUGGCCUGUGGAGUGCUGCACAAUGUCGCGCACAGGCAUGGCAUACCCCUUGGUGAGGUGGGGGCACCGCCAGAUGACCCUGACCCAGGACCAGUAUAUGUGCAGCACAAUCAACAAGCCAUUCAGGCCCGUCAACGUGUAAUUGCGACAAUAUAAAUGGUACUCAGACACAAAGUUCAUUUUUUGACCAAUUCUUUUAAUGAAUGGCUUAUUUCUGUGAGUGCGUCAGUGACAUUUUUAAGGUGACUGUUCAUUUCUUCAAUGGCCCUAACAAUUUGUUGUUGUGACUCCAGAACAGCAUGCGUCAAGACACGGCCAGAUGGACGGGCUUCAGCACUGGGGGGAACAUUAGAGACACGGGAGACGCUGGACUGAAUGGGCUCUGGCUGCUCAGGUGGUGCGGACUCUGAGUGCGUGCCAGUGGACGUUCCUGCGGUUCCUAAGUCCAAUUAAACACAGGCACAUCUUAACAGUAAUUUGAGUCUGUUCCUUAUUAAUGGGUACACGCAUUUGCAAUAAAAGCAGUGGAUACGUGAAA
Molecule: long non-coding RNA, 1318 nt
Organism: Coregonus clupeaformis (lake whitefish)
Lineage: Eukaryota; Metazoa; Chordata; Actinopteri; Salmoniformes; Salmonidae
Exons: 2
Source: RefSeq, a predicted model, not a curated record